This 169-nucleotide long non-coding RNA is filed under the name Mustela putorius furo (domestic ferret). Its description in RNAcentral is "lncRNA (ENSMPUG00000025233.1)". Lineage: Eukaryota; Metazoa; Chordata; Mammalia; Carnivora; Mustelidae. The record is from RNAcentral.
CCAAUAUCCUGGUCUCCAUUUCUAAGAGUUUCUAAGACGUGGAGCAGCUAGAAACAGAACCCACGGAGAAGACUGUGUGAACAUGAAGACCGUCAUCUAGAAGCUGAGCUGAGGAGCCUAGAACAGAUCCUUCCCCCACCCCCAGCUCUCAGAAGGACCAACCCUGCCA